AAAAUAAUAAAUUUUGAAAACUUUUCUAUAGAAUACAUAAUUAUUAAAUUUUAAAAGUUAUUAAUUUUAGGAAAAGAGCAUCGUCUCGUGGUGUACCACGGGUUAAAUUCUAGUACUAGUCAAAACAAUUUGAACUCGAGUAGCGGAAAUUCUUUUUGGAUUCAUAUUAUUAUUUUGAACCUCUAAUUCAAAUUUGUUUUGUUUAAAUUCUUUUUUUUUUCGUUAUGAAAUUGUCAAAUUUAUUGAUAUACAUAAAACUGUUUAUGUACAAAGAUAUAAAAGAAUAGAUGGGCAAGUUGAAGUGGAUGGGCAAGUUGGGGAGUCUCAUGAUAUUGAAGUGAAAUCACUUUAUUGUGGAUCAUCUUUUCUAUGACCUGAAUAAGGUGAUCAACUAGUCGGAAUAUGUGCUUAUAUCGUCUGUCAUUUUGUUUACGCCAGACGUGAAAAAUUGUUGCCUGGAACACCAAAGUCCAAAGGAACCAAGAUGAAGAAAAGCUUUUACAAUGAAAUGAGAUGUUGCAAAGUCGUUUACAAGUCUCUCUAAUUUGUUAUUAGAAAAAAUUAGCUAAAUAUAUAUAUAUAUGAAUGGGAAAAAUGUCGAAAAAAUCAUGAACUUUCAAAUUUUGGACGAGAAAAGCAUGAACUUUCAAAAUGCCAUAAAAAUCCUAAACUUUGUUUUGACAUUUUGAAAACUGACCAACUUUCGUUGACCAGGCCGUUUCGGACAUGACGUUAAUUUUCCGUUAACGGAACAAUAACAGAGUUAAGUUUCUGUUAACAGUCUUCGUAGAACGAAACGACGUCGUUUUGAAUUCACUAAAAAAAAUAAUUGUUUGAUUCCCUAAAGUACUUAAUUUUUU
Molecule: small RNA, 860 nt
Filed under: Arabidopsis thaliana (thale cress)
Lineage: Eukaryota; Viridiplantae; Streptophyta; Magnoliopsida; Brassicales; Brassicaceae
Description: ATSL097390
Source: RNAcentral